Molecule: ribosomal RNA, 523 nt
Filed under: Staphylococcus pseudintermedius
Lineage: Bacteria; Bacillati; Bacillota; Bacilli; Caryophanales; Staphylococcaceae
Description: bacterial SSU rRNA
Rfam family: Bacterial small subunit ribosomal RNA
Source: RNAcentral
CCGACCUGAGAGGGUGAUCGGCCACACUGGAACUGAGACACGGUCCAGACUCCUACGGGAGGCAGCAGUAGGGAAUCUUCCGCAAUGGGCGAAAGCCUGACGGAGCAACGCCGCGUGAGUGAUGAAGGUCUUCGGAUCGUAAAGCUCUGUUGUUAGGGAAGAACAAAUGUGUAAGUAACUGUGCACAUCUUGACGGUACCUAACCAGAAAGCCACGGCUAACUACGUGCCAGCAGCCGCGGUAAUACGUAGGUGGCAAGCGUUAUCCGGAAUUAUUGGGCGUAAAGCGCGCGUAGGCGGUUUUUUAAGUCUGAUGUGAAAGCCCACGGCUCAACCGUGGAGGGUCAUUGGAAACUGGAAAACUUGAGUGCAGAAGAGGAAAGUGGAAUUCCAUGUGUAGCGGUGAAAUGCGCAGAGAUAUGGAGGAACACCAGUGGCGAAGGCGGCUUUCUGGUCUGCAACUGACGCUGAUGUGCGAAAGCGUGGGGAUCAAACAGGAUUAGAUACCCUGGUAGUCCACGCCG